GACGAACGCUGGCGGCGUGCCUAAUACAUGCAAGUUGAGCGAUGAAGCUUGGUGCUUGCACCAAUUUGAAGAGCAGCGAACGGGUGAGUAACGCGUGGGGAAUCUGCCUUUGAGCGGGGGACAACAUUUGGAAACGAAUGCUAAUACCGCAUAACAACUUUAAACAUAAGUUUUAAGUUUGAAAGAUGCAAUUGCAUCACUCAAAGAUGAUCCCGCGUUGUAUUAGCUAGUUGGUGAGGUAAAGGCUCACCAAGGCGAUGAUACAUAGCCGACCUGAGAGGGUGAUCGGCCACAUUGGGACUGAGACACGGCCCAAACUCCUACGGGAGGCAGCAGUAGGGAAUCUUCGGCAACGGACGAAAGUCUGACCGAGCAACGCCGCGUGAGUGAAGAAGGGUUUCGGAUCGUAAAACUCUGUUGGUAGAGAAGAACGUUGGUGAGAGUGGAAAGCUCAUCAAGUGACGGUAACUACCCAGAAAGGGACGGCUAACUACGUG
This 497-nucleotide ribosomal RNA is filed under the name uncultured bacterium. RNAcentral describes it as "partial 16S ribosomal RNA". It matches the Rfam family "Bacterial small subunit ribosomal RNA", at positions 28 to 507 of the family's 1533-position model. The record is from RNAcentral.